RNAcentral lists this ribosomal RNA (443 nucleotides) under uncultured bacterium. Its description in RNAcentral is "partial 16S ribosomal RNA". It matches the Rfam family "Bacterial small subunit ribosomal RNA", at positions 338 to 795 of the family's 1533-position model. The record is from RNAcentral.
CCUACGGGAGGCAGCAGUGGGGAAUAUUGGGCAAUGGAGGCAACUCUGACCUAGCAACGCCGCGUGAAUGAUGAAGGUCUUCGGAUUGUAAAGUUCUUUUCUAAGGGAAGUAGAAAGUGACGGUACCUUAGGAAUAAGCCUCGGCUAACUACGUGCCAGCAGCCGCGGUAAUACGUAGGAGGCAAGCGUUAUCCGGAAUGACUGGGCGUAAGGGGUGCGUAGGUGGUUUGACAAGUUAGUAGCGCAACUCCGGAGCUCAACUUCGGAACUACUACUGAUACUGUUGGACUUGAGUGCAGGAGAGGCAAUCGGAAUUCCUGGUGUAGCGGUGGAAUGCGUAGAUAUUAGGAGGAACACCAGUGGCGAAGGCAGCUCACUGGACUGCAACUGACACUGAUGCUCGAAAGUGUGGGUAUCAAACAGGAUUAGAUACCCCGGUAGUC